GUCGUAACAAGGUUUCCGUAGGUGAACCUGCGGAAGGAUCAUUACCACACCUAAUAAAACUUUCCACGUGAACCUGUUCUACUAGUUUUGUGCUUCGCCAAUGUUGUUGUUUUAUCUUCGAUGAGACAAGGAUAGCGGCUUGAGGCUGAACGAAGGUUGAUUUUGCUAUCAUGGCGAAGUUGACUGAUGUACUUUUCAAACCCCUUUAACUAAUUACUGAUAAAUACUCUGAGAACGAAAGUUCUUAGUUUUAACUAGAUAACAACUUUCAGCAGUGGAUGUCUAGGCUC
This 290-nucleotide unclassified non-coding RNA is filed under the name fungal sp. RNAcentral describes it as "partial internal transcribed spacer region". The stretch from base 1 to 44 matches the Rfam family "Eukaryotic small subunit ribosomal RNA", at positions 1788 to 1831 of the family's 1831-position model. Lineage: Eukaryota; Fungi. The record is from RNAcentral.